RNAcentral lists this unclassified non-coding RNA (1621 nucleotides) under Melitaea cinxia (Glanville fritillary). RNAcentral describes it as "misc RNA ENSMCXG00005017920.1". The record is from RNAcentral. Lineage: Eukaryota; Metazoa; Arthropoda; Insecta; Lepidoptera; Nymphalidae.
AAUAAUUGUGUUUGCUCGCAAACGAAAAAAAAACCGACUUCAAUUACAUCGAAGAGUAAUACAACGUAGAUCGACGAAAAAAUAGUAAUACUUUGUUCGUAUUCCAUAUAACGCGACAUUAUAAAAUUGUAGAAUUAUAUAAUGUUCUACUGUUAUUUCUAACAUUUUGUUAGCGAUUGUAGGCAGAAAUUUCAUAAAAGGCCCGUCGUCGAUUCGCGCGAAGCGCUGACAUCGCUUAUUACGGCGGGUUUUUUAGUUGAAGCGGAUUUAUAUUGAAUUACGGUUUAUGUCUUUUUUAUUAAAAAUAUGUAAUGUUCAUGUUUUCACACAGCUCCGAUGCACGACUGGAGUUUACCCCUUCAGAUCAACUGUCUAAAUAGGCACAAAAAGGCUUACUAGUCUAAGAAAUAUAUUAUUACUAUAUCAAAUUGUAAAUAAAUGAAUGCAAUAACGCCAUCUAUCGGAACCUAAUUGCGUUAUUAGAAAACGUCUGAACGCCAUCUCUAACAAGGUCAUUCGUUCAGUAGAUUUUACUGUUCAAUUUUUUCAUUCCGGGGCCUUAAAUGAAAAUCGAUUCUUAAGGAGAAAACUCCAAAAACAGUCAAGUAAAUACGCCAUAUCAGAUAUAGCUCAAAAAGUUCGAGUCAAAUCUCAAUUAUAUUUAAAUGGGACCACAUGACAAGCACCACCUAUCGAUUAAAAAAAGAAUCAUCGAUAUCGGUCCACCCAGUAAAAUAGUAAUGAGGUUAAUAUAACGUUGGUCGACGUAAAAUAGCCAAGUAAAUACCCAGUAUUAGCGAUAACUCAAAAAUUAAAAGCUCAAAUAUAUUUAUAACGAAUAAACUGCUACUCUCUACUCUAGUGGAAUAUUGUAAUUUGGUCGAUAGUGAACGAAGUAAUUUCAUUACAUUUUGAUAGAUGGCGUUGUGGCAAAGUAUUGAACAUGACCACAGUCGUCUUAACAUCGUCAUGUAAAUACGUGUCAUCAAAGAUUACUCAAAAAUUGCUCAUUAUAUCUCAAUCAUAUUUAAAACGGACGACAUGACAAGUAUUAGCUUUUGAUUUAUACAAAAAAGAUCAAAAUCAGUGCACCCAGUAAAAAGAUAUAACGUAUAAUACAACGUAGGGUGACGAAAAUAAUGUCAAGUAAAUACGCGUUAUCAAAGAUUAAUCAAAAAGUAGUUAUCAGAUCUCGAUAAAAUUUAUAUGUGACCACAUGAUAAACAUCAGCUUUCGAUUAAAGUAAAAAUUAUCAAAAUCGAUACACCCAGUAAAAAGUUAUUGCGGAUUUUCAAGAGUUUCUCUCGAUUUCUCUAGGAUCCCAUCAUCAGAUCCUAGUUUCCUUAUCAUGGUACCAAACUAGGGAUAUUCCCUUUCCAACAAAAAAAGAAUUAUCAAAAUCGGUACACCCAGUAGAAAGUUAUGUGGUAUAAUACAACGUAGGUCGACGAAAAAAGCGUCAAGUAAAAACGCAUUAUUAGAUAUAAUUCGAAAAGUAGUUGUUAGAUCUCAAAUAAAUUUAAAUGGGACCAAUCGGCACACACCACCUUUCGAUUAAAACAAAAUUUGUCGAAAUCGGUCUACCUGGUCAAAAGUUCUGAUGUAACAUACAUAAAAAAAA